RNAcentral lists this ribosomal RNA (356 nucleotides) under uncultured actinobacterium WB038. RNAcentral describes it as "bacterial SSU rRNA". It matches the Rfam family "Bacterial small subunit ribosomal RNA", at positions 121 to 494 of the family's 1533-position model. The record is from RNAcentral. Lineage: Bacteria; Bacillati; Actinomycetota; Actinomycetes.
GCAACCUGCCCCGAAGACCGGGACAACACCGGGAAACCGGUGCUAAUACCGGAUGUCCCCACCGGACCGCAUGAUCUGGUGAGGAAAUGGAUUCCGCUUUGGGAGGGGCUCGCGGCCUAUCAGCUUGUUGGUGAGGUAAUGGCUCACCAAGGCUUCGACGGGUAGCUGGUCUGAGAGGACGAUCAGCCACACUGGGACUGAGACACGGCCCAGACUCCUACGGGAGGCAGCAGUGGGGAAUCUUGCGCAAUGGGCGAAAGCCUGACGCAGCAACGCCGCGUGAGGGACGAAGGCUUUCUGAGUUGUAAACCUCUUUCAGCAGGGACGAUAGUGACGGUACCUGCAGAAGAAGCACC